Molecule: ribosomal RNA, 111 nt
Filed under: Acanthosepion pharaonis
Lineage: Eukaryota; Metazoa; Mollusca; Cephalopoda; Sepiida; Sepiidae
Source: RNAcentral
UAUGGCCAUAUCACGUUGAAAUACCUGUUCCCGUACGAUCACCGGUUAAGCAAUGCCAAGCCUGGUCAGUACCUAGAUGGGUGACCGCUUGGGAAUACCAGGUGCUGUAAG